Molecule: transfer RNA, 543 nt
Filed under: Homo sapiens (human)
Lineage: Eukaryota; Metazoa; Chordata; Mammalia; Primates; Hominidae
Description: HSALNT0388347
Source: RNAcentral
CAUUAUUCAGACAUCACAGAGUGUAGUGAUGUAAACCUAGAUGGUAGAGCCUUCUACACACCUAGGCUACACUAUACAGCCUAUUGUGCUCCUAGGCUGCAAACCUGUACAGCUACAGCAUGGUACUGUACUGAAUGCUGGAGGCAAUUGUACACAAUUGUAAGCAUUUGUGUACCUAAAAGAGACCGAGAUACCUAAAUACCAAAACUAGUGACGCUGUGAGCAGGAUUCGAACCUGCGCGGGGAGACCCCAUUGGAUUUCGAGUCCAACGCCUUAACCACUCGGCCAUCACAGCCGCGUGCGCUGUCGGCCCUGUGCAACUAUAGCUGCCUAUCAACACGCCCGCCUCCAGCCGGCUCCGCCCGGCUCCGCCCGGCUCCACCCGCGCCGCCUAGAGACGUCUGCGCUCGUGCGCCUCUGCUCGGUGGCGCAGACCAUGCCUUCCCUCCAGCAGACGUCAGCAGCCCCAUUGGAGCGGCAGCCUUCCUAUUCUCCCUCUCCUCCCUGAGCAUAGGAUGGAAACAAAACGGGUCCAAAUCCGA